This is a long non-coding RNA of Apodemus sylvaticus (European woodmouse), 3908 nucleotides long. RefSeq lists it as uncharacterized. NCBI's taxonomy places the organism in Eukaryota, Metazoa, Chordata, Mammalia, Rodentia, Muridae. The transcript is spliced from 11 exons. The record is from RefSeq and is a predicted model, not a curated record.
AUAAAUGUUUUGAAAUUUUCCCCUUUCCAGGUCUCCACUUCGGAAACCACCUAUUCUAUCCUCCGCUCCCCUGUCUCUAUGAGGGUGCUCCCCCACCCACCCACUCCAGUCUAACCGCCCUGGCAGCAUCAAACCCUCUUAGGACCAAGGGUCUCUCCACUCACUGCUGUCCAACAAGGCCAUCCUCUGCUACAUAUGCAGCCAGCACCAUGGGUCCCUCCAUGUGUACUCUUUGGUUGGUGGUCCAGUCUCUGAGAGUUCCUGGCUGUCUGGCCUGUUGACACUGUUGCUCCCUCCAUGGGGCUGCAAACCCCCUCAGCUUCUUCAGUCUCUUCUUCAACUCCUCCAUCUGGGACCCCAAGCUCAGUCCAAUGGUUGGCUGUGAGCAUCCACAUCUGUAUUUGUCAGGAGACAGCCAUAUCAGGCUUUCUUCGUAGGACUUGCCUGUGUCACCUCUGCCGAAUAGAUUCCACAAGAUUCUUCACUGAAAUUACUUGAUUUACAUAUACCUCAGCAUGCUUUGGUGAUUUAUUUAUCAAUAGACACCUGAGUGUUUCCUAACUAUAAGAAAACGGACAAUUUCAGAAAACUGCAACUAGUCAAAAUGCAGAGAACAACUGAAUGUAGGGUGCCCAACCACCUCUGCAGUUCAUGGAGCAUUACAGAAGGAUGGAAAGAUUUAAAGAACCAGAGAACCAGUAAGUUGACUUAUAAGAUUGUAUCUACUGGAAGUGAUAUGGAAGCUACACCAUGAGUCCUCAAAAAUAUGGCUGCCGAAAGGACCUGAAUAGUGGCCACACCAAUAGUCAUGCUUACUUUGAUGGAGGAAAUCUCAUGGGACCCCACCCCUAGACAAAGAGCUAUAGCCAACAACUACAGGUAAUAACUGCUGGAAAGGGAGAAUUCAUCUCCCCCUAGGGAUGAGCCCUUAAAUUGGUUAUCUACAAAUUAUCAACACUGGAAAAUCUCUCUCUCUCUCUCUCUCACACACACACACACACACACACACACACACACACACACAGAGAGAGAGAGAGAGAGAGAGAGAGAGAGACAUAACACUAAAUGGAUUCAGAAGAUUGUCUUUAUAUAUUUAUAUAGACAUACAUAUUUCUGUAUAUGAAAGAAUAAUUAAAGAAAAAGAUGGAUUUGAGAGAGAGAGAAUUAGGGCAGAUAUGAGAGAUCUAGAAUGAGGAGAAGGAAGUGAUGUAAUUAUAUUAGAUUUUUAGAAAGUUAUAGAAAAGAUAAAAGCAUGAUAGACAUGAAGUACAUUUCAUGACUUUAACUCCUGCAUUGCUUUCUGGUCUUUCAGAGAUGAUUCUAUCCUGGAGUUAAAUAGUCCUUUUUUAUAUGCCUAUGCCUUUAAUACUUGUAUAGUUAUUGAUGUCUAUAAACAUGAAAUUUUUUGUAUGCUCUUGAGCUUUACAUAAAAGAAACUAAGCAGGAAAAUGGAACAGAAUUCAGAACAAUAUAUUUUAAGCAGUUUCCAUUAUUAACCUGCUUCUUUUCCUUCUUUCCAUACCUCCCAGCUCCCUUCCUUCCUCUCUUUUCCUCUGUCCAUCCAUACCUUUUCUCCGAUUCUCAAUUUCUUGCUGCCUUACUUUUCCUUAGUGAUGUGCAAAUAGUUAUCUGAUUGUUUACCUGUUUUCUUUAUUUGUAACCUCUUACCUAAAAUAUCUCUUGUGCCAGUGGAAUACUUCUGUGCCAAAUCCUUGUACUUAAGAACAAAUCACUUUUGCAUAUGCUGAAAAUGCAACUGUCUCUCAAGAGCAUGUUGGAUCAGGAAAGCCUUCUUUUCCACAUUCUACUUCUUUUGCUGCUGUACCAGCAAUGGUGAAGAAAGAGGCAAUAUUUGACCUUCCAACGGGACAGAUUGGGAACAAUAGAGGCAAAUGGAUGGAACUCGUGAAUAUCAUCAUGAGCGAGGUAGCCCAGGCCCAAAAGGACAUGCAUGAUAGGAGUCAAGCAUGGCUGUCCUCUGAGAGCCUCCACCCAGCAGCUGACUCAGACGGAUGCAGAGACCCAGAGCCAGAGUAUGGAGCUUGGGUCUGCUUAUGGAAGAAUAGAAGAAGGACUGUAGACCUGAAGUGGAAUUGUUGAUUUCAAAGAUGGGGGUGAGGGUCUCAUGAAGACCUGCCAUGCAGACCAUCUAAGCCACCUCCUCAUCAACCUUGCUUCAAUUUAACGAGCAUCAAUCGAGCCAAGCUAUCAGCUAUCAAUAGCUUUUCUUUGAGGAGCAAGUCCUGAGGAGCACCCUCCUCUGAGUUUGCACAGUAUUGUGAAGUGUCAGCAGUCAAUGAAGAGAUGGGUGAUUGGUCAAAGUACUAAACGUAAGAGACCACGUGCUCUGCGGUGGUAAGAUGCAUUUUGGGUUCCUGCCCCAGCUUCCCAGGAUGAUAGACUGCAAGCUACAGAAAGAAGUAAAUCCUUUCUUCCAGAAGAUGGACACUUUGGUCAUGGUGAUGUAUCACAGGAGUGCAGAGCCUAGAUUACAGAGCUGAGGACCGAACCCAGGGCCUUGCACUUGCUAGGCAAGCGCUCUACCACUGAGCUAAAUCCCCAAUCGCAGUCCACACAGAAGUGUAAUCCUCAUGCCUCAUCGAUUUUCUUUCUCUUGGCUAAAGACAGAGAUGAUUAGAGCAAGCAACAAGCCAUCGAAUUGCAGAGUAGCAGAACCCAGCACAAUGGAUCCAUCUAAAAAACAGCUGCAUCUAAGGCUCAGGGAAUAUUUUGGAAGAGGGGGCAGAAACAGUCUAAGAACUAGAGGAUCAGGGAACAAGAUGCGAGGCUGUGUCUCCUAAGAAUGCCACAAGCUACUGACAAAGUCUUGGCAACACGACUGCCCAAACACACGCUGAACAAGGACUAUAAUAGACAUGCCAAAUAGGGCAGGGGAAAACCCAUAAGGCCUCAACCUUACAUCCACAGAGCAAGGGGGAACUAAGGAAUGCUGGGAGCUAGAGAAAUAGGCUUCCCCAGGGAGGAGCACAGCAGUUGGUCAUCGCCUGCCAAAGGCCAGGCCUGGAACCCUGUGUCCAGGUCACAUCCUAAAUCCUGAGCUGGUUAGAUUUAGAAAUAUGUGUACAUACACGCAAAUACAUGUGUGCAGGAAAUAGCAAUUGAUGAAGAAAGGAGUUAGUUAUUUGAAAGAGCAAGGAAGGAUAUAAGUGAGUCUUUGGGAAGAAAAGGAAAUAGAGAACAGAUGUAAUUAUGAUCACAGAAAAGAAGAGAAAUCCUUUAGUUGCCUGCUGAAUUUAGUACGACUCCAUAUGGCUGUUGGCUAUGUCCUAAGUUUUGGCGGACCCUUUUCCACAACCCCACCACCCCGAGCGCCACCCCUCUUUAAGGCUUUCUAUGCCAGGUUUCCUCCCACCUCCAUGUUCACAUCCAGUGCACUCUGCUGUCCCUGCCCCUAGAUCUCCUCUCUGGGCUCCUCACAUGCUCCGUGAUGUCUACAGACACUGACUCCUAUUCCAACAGAGACCUGUAAAACAUUGGAGCUGGAGUCCACAUGUGAGGGAACACAGGUGGCUUCUGUGGCUGCUUUGACAAAGAUGUGAAAAAGGACCACUGGAGAGGAGGCCGCCAUCCUCACUGACAAAUAGUCCUGGGUAGAGCUGGAUAGACACCCUUAGAAGGCUAAAACCAGAUCCCUAACUUUAGACUGGAGAAAAAUCAGUUCUAACUGGAUGUAAGAUCUGAAAUUCGUAGGCUCUCAGAGUAAAAUGCAGGGAUUUUUCCUCAAGAGAAGGGGGUAGCCAUGAACUUUCUCCUAAGGUUUAACAGCUCCGGAAAUGGUCUCCAUAUUUGGCAGGUGGGAUUCUGAGAAGUCAAAAACAUUCCUCACAGUAAAAGUGAAUAAAUUGCCAGAGUGAAGAAACAGAAUGCAGAUUGGGUGAAAAAAAAAA